UUCCCCAUUUGGGGCAGACACAACAAUUCCUCUCCAGGCCUGGCAAUCAAGGACCCCUCACUGCCUCAGGCCAGAGAUGGAAACAAAAGUAGCCCAAAAGGCAUCAGCACCACUCCAAAGAAAAGGCUUCCAAGGAGAGGAAGCCAAGCCUAAAGAGGCAGCCAUGGCCUGGCUGUUCCACGCUGCCCCUUUCUCUCUGCCCGUGCUCAGGAGAGAAUGUACACCCCUUACCCAGUUUCCCCUGCGAGCAAAUACAGAGCAGCAGAUGUUGGCAUGGAAGAAGGGAUUUGCUCUAAACAAACAACCCACUCCCUCCACAAAAAGCUUUGUACCAGACCAAAAUCAAGCACAACCCUCUCACCCCAUCCCCUUCCCUCACCUGCCCCCCCAUAACCCAAAUGCUCAAAGGUCUCUCAGUCAAAACAAAAAGCUGUAGGACUUGAACCACCAGCACUUUA
Molecule: long non-coding RNA, 458 nt
Organism: Vidua chalybeata
Lineage: Eukaryota; Metazoa; Chordata; Aves; Passeriformes; Viduidae
Exons: 3
Source: RefSeq, a predicted model, not a curated record